RNAcentral lists this ribosomal RNA (446 nucleotides) under uncultured organism. RNAcentral describes it as "partial 16S ribosomal RNA". It matches the Rfam family "Bacterial small subunit ribosomal RNA", at positions 335 to 797 of the family's 1533-position model. The record is from RNAcentral.
ACUCCUGCGGGAGGCAGCAGUGGGGAAUAUUGGACAAUGGGCGCAAGCCUGAUCCAGCCAUGCCGCGUGAGUGAUGAAGGCCCUAGGGUUGUAAAGCUCUUUCACCGGUGAAGAUAAUGACGGUAACCGGAGAAGAAGUCCCGGCUAACUUCGUUCCAGCAGCCGCGGUAAUACGAAGGGGGCUAGCGUUGUUCGGAUUUACUGGGCGUAAAGCGCACGUAGGCGGACUAUUAAGUCAGGGGUGAAAUCCCGGGGCUCAACCCCGGAACUGCCUUUGAUACUGGUAGUCUUGAGUUCGAGAGAGGUGAGUGGAAUGCCGAGUGUAGAGGUGAAAUUCGUAGAUAUUCGGAGGAACACCAGUGGCGAAGGCGGCUCACUGGCUCGAUACUGACGCUGAGGUGCGAAAGCGUGGGGAGCAAACAGGAUUAGAAACCCUUGUAGUCCCA